GACGAACGCUGGCGGCGUGCUUAACACAUGCAAGUCGAACGGAAAGGCCCUGCUUUUGUGGGGUGCUCGAGUGGCGAACGGGUGAGUAACACGUGAGUAACCUGCCCUUGACUUUGGGAUAACUUCAGGAAACUGGGGCUAAUACCGGAUAGGAGCUCCUGCUGCAUGGUGGGGGUUGGAAAGUUUCGGCGGUUGGGGAUGGACUCGCGGCUUAUCAGCUUGUUGGUGGGGUAGUGGCUUACCAAGGCUUUGACGGGUAGCCGGCCUGAGAGGGUGACCGGCAACAGGGGGACUGAGCACGGGCCCAGCCUCCGGGGGGGGGCGGAAGGGGGAAUUUGUGCAAAGGGGGCGGGGCCCGGAUGCAGCACCGCCGGGUGGGGGGUGAGGGCUUUGGGUUUAUAAACCGCUUUCGCCGGGGAGGAAGGGGGAGGGAGGGUAGGGGGAAAAAAAGCCCCGGCUAACUAGGUC
RNAcentral lists this ribosomal RNA (468 nucleotides) under uncultured bacterium. RNAcentral's name for it is "partial 16S ribosomal RNA". It matches the Rfam family "Bacterial small subunit ribosomal RNA", at positions 28 to 507 of the family's 1533-position model. The record is from RNAcentral.